UCAAAGUGUGAGGGCAACAGG
Molecule: non-coding RNA, 21 nt
Filed under: Rattus norvegicus (Norway rat)
Lineage: Eukaryota; Metazoa; Chordata; Mammalia; Rodentia; Muridae
Source: RNAcentral